GCCGAAGUGGUGGAAUGGCAGACACGGAGCACUCAAAAUGCUCUGCUCGAAAGGGCGUGCGGGUUCAAGUCCCGCCUUCGGCACCA
Molecule: transfer RNA, 86 nt
Filed under: Pedococcus dokdonensis
Lineage: Bacteria; Bacillati; Actinomycetota; Actinomycetes; Micrococcales; Intrasporangiaceae
Also listed under: 1 other name
Description: Phycicoccus dokdonensis tRNA_Leu_CAA
Rfam family: tRNA
About the family: Transfer RNA (tRNA) molecules are approximately 80 nucleotides in length. Their secondary structure includes four short double-helical elements and three loops (D, anti-codon, and T loops).
Source: RNAcentral